RNAcentral lists this ribosomal RNA (194 nucleotides) under Chloropicon laureae. Its description in RNAcentral is "partial Bacterial large subunit ribosomal RNA". It matches the Rfam family "Bacterial large subunit ribosomal RNA", at positions 887 to 1079 of the family's 2925-position model. Lineage: Eukaryota; Viridiplantae; Chlorophyta; Chloropicophyceae; Chloropicales; Chloropicaceae. The record is from RNAcentral.
UGAAUACCAACGGGGGUAGAGCACUGGAUGGGCUAGGGGGUCCCAACGACUUACCAAACCUAACCAAACUCCGAAUACCGUUGAGUACUAUCUGGCAGACACACUACGGGUGCUAAGGUCCGUAGUGGAAAGGGAAACAGCCCUGACCGUCGAUUAAGGUCCCUAAGUUAUGGCUAAGUGGGAAAGGAUGUAGG